Molecule: long non-coding RNA, 590 nt
Organism: Passer montanus (Eurasian tree sparrow)
Lineage: Eukaryota; Metazoa; Chordata; Aves; Passeriformes; Passeridae
Exons: 3
Source: RefSeq, a predicted model, not a curated record
AAAAGAUGGCCUCUUUCUGAGGCAUCCAUUCUCCUCCAAACAGAGCCAAGGGAAAAAGCCAGCCGAGCUGCCCUCACUGCCUUGUCCGUAUCAACCUGGGAAGAAGGAAGAAGAAAAUUGAAGACACAAGGGCUGUGUUUACAAAGACGGGGACCUUGGAAAGCUUGAUGAGUUCCAAUCAGAGAUACACAGGUGGGAAAGUGGAUCCAGGAUAAAAGUCCUGCCCAAGACAAAACUCCAAGCUGAAGACUCCAAUUAUCUAUAAAUCACUUGAAUUUCCUGCAGAGAAAGAGAAAAAGGAGGACAGAGCGAGACAGACAGAAAAACAGAGACAGAGGAUAUGCCAAGUGAAACAUUUGAUACCUGUCCUAAACCAAAAUUUUCUCAAAAGAAACCAGGAGUUACCUGAUAUCUCAAACCCAAGCUUAGAAGAAACAUUGCCAUUGGUUUUGGCUUAAUAUUGAAAUGAAAUAACUUUCUUUUAAUUGUUCCAUUCGUAUAAAAUGUGUUACAUUUUACAUCUGAGAUGAUGGAAUUAUGUAUUGAUUCAUUAAAGGUCACUGUACAUUCUCACACAGAGAAAGCUGUGA